AGCGUAUAUUAAAGUUGUUGCAGUUAAAAAGCUCGUAGUUGAAUUUCGGAGUUUAUCGGUUGGUCGGGCUUCACUGUCCGCACUGACCUGAUUGAUUCCUACCUUCUGAAUAACCAGCAUGCUAUUAAGUUAGUGCGUUGGGGAAGCAGAGCUAUUACCUUGAAAAAAUUAGAGUGCUUAAAGCAGGCUUAUGCUUGAAUAGAUUAGCAUGGAAUAAUAAAAUAGGACGGCAUGGUUCUAUUUUGUUGGUUUCUAGGAUCACCGUAAUGAUUAAUAGGGAUAGUUGGGGGCAUUAGUAUUCAAUUGUCAGAGGUGAAAUUCUUGGAUUUAUUGAAGACUAACUUCUGCGAAAGCAUUUGCCAAGGAUGUUUUCAUUAAUCAAGAACGAAAGUUAGGGGAUCGAAGACGAUCAGAUACCGUCGUAGUCUUAACCAUAAACUAUGCCGACUAGGGAUCGGACGAUGUUAAUUUUUUAAUGACUCGUUC
This 486-nucleotide ribosomal RNA is filed under the name uncultured Glomeromycotina. RNAcentral's name for it is "SSU rRNA". It matches the Rfam family "Eukaryotic small subunit ribosomal RNA", at positions 596 to 1081 of the family's 1831-position model. Lineage: Eukaryota; Fungi; Glomeromycota. The record is from RNAcentral.